Molecule: ribosomal RNA, 1505 nt
Organism: Thermoproteus tenax Kra 1
Lineage: Archaea; Thermoproteati; Thermoproteota; Thermoprotei; Thermoproteales; Thermoproteaceae
Rfam family: Archaeal small subunit ribosomal RNA
Source: Rfam
AAACCGGUUGAUCCUGCCGGACCUGACCGCUAUCGGGGUGGGGCUAAGCCAUGCGAGUCGCGCGCCCGGGGCGCCGGGCGCGGCGCACGGCUCAGUAACACGUACCCAACCUAACCUCGGGAGGGGGACAACCCCGGGAAACUGGGGCUGAUCCCCCAUAGGGGAAGGGCGCUGGAAGGCCCCUUCCUCCAAAGGGAUCGCGGGCGAUCUCCCGCGGUCCGCCCGAGGGUGGGGGUACGGCCCAUCAGGUUGUUGGCGGGGUAACGGCCCGCCAAGCCGAAGACGGGUAGGGGCGGUGAGAGCCGUGAGCCCCGAGAUGGGCACUGAGACAAGGGCCCAGGCCCUACGGGGUGCAGCAGGCGCGAAUACUCCGCAAUGCGGGCAACCGCGACGGGGCCACCCCGAGUGCCGGGCGAAGAGCCCGGCUUUUGCCCGGUGUAAGGAGCCGGGCGAAUAAGCGGGGGGUAAGUCUGGUGUCAGCCGCCGCGGUAAUACCAGCCCCGCGAGUGGUCAGGGUGAUUACUGGGCUUAAAGCGCCCGUAGCCGGCCCGGCAAGUCGCUCCUGAAAUCCCCAGGCUCAACCUGGGGGCAGGGGGCGAUACUGCCGGGCUAGGGGGCGGGAGAGGCCGCCGGUACUCCGGGGGUAGGGGCGAAAUCCUAUAAUCCCCGGAGGACCACCAGUGGCGAAAGCGGGCGGCCAGAACGCGCCCGACGGUGAGGGGCGAAAGCCGGGGGAGCAAAGGGGAUUAGAUACCCCUGUAGUCCCGGCCGUAAACGAUGCGGGCUAGCUGUCGGCCGGGCUUAGGGCCCGGCCGGUGGCGUAGGGAAACCGUUAAGCCCGCCGCCUGGGGAGUACGGCCGCAAGGCUGAAACUUAAAGGAAUUGGCGGGGGGGCACCACAAGGGGUGAAGCUUGCGGCUUAAUUGGAGUCAACGCCGGAAACCUUACCCGGGGCGACAGCAGGAUGAAGGCCAGGCUAACGACCUUGCCGGACGAGCUGAGAGGAGGUGCAUGGCCGUCGUCAGCUCGUGCCGUGAGGUGUCCGGUUAAGUCCGGCAACGAGCGAGACCCCCACCCCUAGUUGCUACCCCGCUCUUCGGGGCGGGGGGCACACUAGGGGGACUGCCGGCGUAAGCCGGAGGAAGGAGGGGGCGACGGCAGGUCAGUAUGCCCCGAAACCCCGGGGCUGCACGCGAGCUGCAAUGGCGGGGACAGCGGGAUCCGACCCCGAAAGGGGGAGGCAAUCCCGUAAACCCCGCCCCAGUAGGGAUCGAGGGCUGCAACUCGCCCUCGUGAACGUGGAAUCCCUAGUAACCGCGUGUCACCAACGCGCGGUGAAUACGUCCCUGCCCCUUGCACACACCGCCCGUCGCACCACCCGAGGGAGUUCUCUGCGAGGCCCCUCGCUUGGGGCAACCCAGGUGGGGGGACGAGCAGAGAACUCCCGAGGGGGGUGAAGUCGUAACAAGGUAGCCGUAGGGGAACCUGCGGCUGGAUCACCUCCU